Molecule: long non-coding RNA, 454 nt
Filed under: Homo sapiens (human)
Lineage: Eukaryota; Metazoa; Chordata; Mammalia; Primates; Hominidae
Description: HSALNT0165751
Source: RNAcentral
GUCAACACUGUGGCCACCAAGACCGUGGAGGAGGCGGAGAACAUCGCGGUCACCUCCGGGGUGGUGCGCAAGGAGGACUUGAGGCCAUCUGCCCCCCAACAGGAGGGUGAGGCAUCCAAAGAGAAAGAGGAAGUGGCAGAGGAGGUCAUUCUCUCUCCCAGGCCCAGAGUGGGGGAGACUAGAGGGCUACAGGCCAGCGUGGAUGACCUGAAGAGCGCUCCUCUGCCUUGGACACCAUCCCCUCCUAGCACAAGGAGUGCCCGCCUUGAGUGACAUGCGGCUGCCCACGCUCCUGCCCUCGUCUCCCUGGCCACCCUUGGCCUGUCCACCUGUGCUGCUGCACCAACCUCACUGCCCUCCCUCGGCCCCACCCACCCUCUGGUCCUUCUGACCCCACUUAUGCUGCUGUGAAUUUUUUUUUUAAAUGAUUCCAAAUAAAACUUGAGCCCACUCC